CGGGGUGUAGCGCAGUUGGAAGCGCGCAUGGCUUGGGACCAUGAGGUCGGGGGUUCGAGACCCUCCACCCCGACCA
Molecule: transfer RNA, 76 nt
Filed under: Clostridia bacterium
Lineage: Bacteria; Bacillati; Bacillota; Clostridia
Description: tRNA-Pro
Rfam family: tRNA
About the family: Transfer RNA (tRNA) molecules are approximately 80 nucleotides in length. Their secondary structure includes four short double-helical elements and three loops (D, anti-codon, and T loops). Further hydrogen bonds mediate the characteristic L-shaped molecular structure. tRNAs have two regions of fundamental functional importance: the anti-codon, which is responsible for specific mRNA codon recognition, and the 3' end, to which the tRNAs corresponding amino acid is attached (by aminoacyl-tRNA synthetases). tRNAs cope with the degeneracy of the genetic code in two manners: having more than one tRNA (with a specific anti-codon) for a particular amino acid; and 'wobble' base-pairing, i.e. permitting non-standard base-pairing at the 3rd anti-codon position.
Source: RNAcentral